GAUGAACGCUGGCGGCGUGCCUAAUACAUGCCAGUCGAGCGAACAGACGAGGAGCUUGCUCCUCUGACGUUAGCGGCGGACGGGUGAGUAACACGUGGAUAACCUACCUAUAGACUGGGAUAACUUCGGGAAACCGGAGCUAAUACCGGAUAAUAUAUUGAACCGCAUGGUUCAAUAGUGAAAGACGGUUUUGCUGUCACUUAUAGAUGGAUCCGCGCCGCAUUAGCUAGUUGGUAAGGUAACGGCUUACCAAGGCAACGAUGCGUAGCCGACCUGAGAGGGUGAUCGGCCACACUGGAACUGAGACACGGUCCAGACUCCUACGGGAGGCGGCAGUAGGGAAUCUUCCGCAAUGGGCGAAAGCCUGACGGAGCAACGCCGCGUGAGUGAUGAAGGUCUUCGGAUCGUAAAACUCUGUUAUUAGGGAAGAACAAAUGUGUAAGUAACUAUGCACGUCUUGACGGUACCUAAUCAGAAAGCCACGGCUAACUACGUG
This 496-nucleotide ribosomal RNA is filed under the name uncultured bacterium. RNAcentral's name for it is "partial 16S ribosomal RNA". It matches the Rfam family "Bacterial small subunit ribosomal RNA", at positions 28 to 507 of the family's 1533-position model. The record is from RNAcentral.